GAUGAACGCUGGCGGCGUGCUUAACACAUGCAAGUCGAACGGAAAGACGCCUUUGUUGCUCCUCUAGUGGCGAACGGGGAAGUAACACUUAAAUAACCUGCCCUUAACUUUGGGACAACUUUAAGAUACUGAGGCUAAUGCCAGUACGGGAUCAUUUCUGCAACGUGGUGGUUGGAAAGCUUAAGCCGUUUUGGCUGUCAUUUCGAGAUGGCUGCGUGCUGGAUUGGCUAGUUGGUACGGUAACGGCUUACGAUGGCAGCACUGAGUAGCCGACCGGAGAGAGUGAUCGGCCACACUGAGACUGAGCCACGGUCCAGAGACCUACGGGAGGCCGCAGCGGGGAAUCGUGGGAGAUGGGCGGAAUACUGCACAAGGAGCGCAGCGUGGAUGAAGAAGGGCUUCGGGCGGGAUAACGCUCUUCUGGGGGAAGAACGCUUUCAGAAGGAACGAAGCAGGUGGUGACGGUACCUGAAGAAGAAGCAACGGCUAACUACGUG
RNAcentral lists this ribosomal RNA (497 nucleotides) under uncultured bacterium. Its description in RNAcentral is "partial 16S ribosomal RNA". It matches the Rfam family "Bacterial small subunit ribosomal RNA", at positions 28 to 507 of the family's 1533-position model. The record is from RNAcentral.